GGAGGGGUGGCCGAGCGGUUCAUGGCACCGCACUUGAAAUGCGGCAAGGUUAACGCCUUCGGAGGUUCGAAUCCUCUCCCCUCCGCCA
This 88-nucleotide transfer RNA is filed under the name Caldisericota bacterium. Its description in RNAcentral is "tRNA-Ser". It matches the Rfam family "tRNA". From Rfam's summary of the family: Transfer RNA (tRNA) molecules are approximately 80 nucleotides in length. Their secondary structure includes four short double-helical elements and three loops (D, anti-codon, and T loops). The record is from RNAcentral. Lineage: Bacteria; Pseudomonadati; Caldisericota.